This 304-nucleotide ribosomal RNA is filed under the name uncultured Clostridia bacterium. RNAcentral's name for it is "bacterial SSU rRNA". It matches the Rfam family "Bacterial small subunit ribosomal RNA", at positions 52 to 339 of the family's 1533-position model. The record is from RNAcentral. Lineage: Bacteria; Bacillati; Bacillota; Clostridia.
UACAUGCAAGUCGAGCGAGGUUACUGUUUUGGAUCCCUUCGGGGUGAAGAAGCUUUAACCUAGCGGCGGACGGGUGAGUAACGCGUGGGUAACCUACCCCAAAGUCCGGGAUAACAGCGGGAAACCGCUGCUAAUACCGGAUGCCUUUACCUUGGGGCAUCUUGAGGUAAAGAAAGGUAACGCUUUGGGAUGGGCCCGCGUCCCAUUAGCUAGUUGGUGAGGUAACGGCUCACCAAGGCGACGAUGGGUAGCCGGCCUGAGAGGGUGGACGGCCACACUGGGACUGAGACACGGCCCAGACUCC